Molecule: long non-coding RNA, 852 nt
Filed under: Capra hircus (goat)
Lineage: Eukaryota; Metazoa; Chordata; Mammalia; Artiodactyla; Bovidae
Description: lncRNA (ENSCHIG00010029101.1)
Source: RNAcentral
CCGGGCAAGGGGCUCCCCCGAGCAGCAGCGCUUCCUGGGUGGCAUAGUCCCAGGGUGCAGAAAGGUGUGGAUGAGGCCUCUGCCCUGGGUCCGCCGACAUCCAGUGCCUCUCAACCUGGAAGUCUCUCCUCCAGGAGGCUGUGGGUGUUCUAAUGCGUGUCUGUUUGCAUUUCCCUGUGUGUGUGUGUGAGAGAGAGACACACACACACACUAGGGAUGCUCAGCACUGUCGUGUGACCGCCCCCCGAGCACCUUCCGGGUGCCGACGUAUACGUCUUGUGUGCUCCCGCAUGUACAUGGCUUUCUGUGUCUCUCUCUCCACGUGCCUGGGAGAUUCAGGGUGCUGUGUGCCUGUUGACCUUCUGGUCCCCGGGGGUAUCUGCUUGCGGGUGAGAGCUUGUGGUGUGAUGCAGGUUGCUGGGAUCUUUGGCGAUUGUGUUGCGCCACCAAGAAGAGAUGGCACCUCUGAACUCUGUGCCCACAGACACUGAUGAAACUCAGAUACUUCUGAGUCCCCUGGCCCCACACACUGGGAGCCCCUCGGUGUCUAUAGGCGGUGUCAGACCCCCCAGUGUUGGCGCUGGGCCUGGGUCACAGCGUGGACAAAUAAAAUGACUGGACAGUGGCUUGGCUUCUUCCCUUGGACCUUUUUUGUCUUCUUUGCAUGGGUGUCUGGAUGUGUAGGCACGGAAAGCGAUGAGUGGGUGGACGGAUGAGUGAGUGGAUGGGUGGAUAGAAGGAUGGACGGGUGAUGGAUGGGUGGGUCAGUCAAUGGUUAGAUGGGUGGAUGAAUAAGUGGAUGGUAAUGGAUGGGUGGGUGGGUGGGUAAGUGGUGGAUGAGUGAGGGGAUAG